RNAcentral lists this ribosomal RNA (497 nucleotides) under uncultured bacterium. RNAcentral's name for it is "partial 16S ribosomal RNA". It matches the Rfam family "Bacterial small subunit ribosomal RNA", at positions 899 to 1397 of the family's 1533-position model. The record is from RNAcentral.
ACUCAAAGGAAUAGACGGGGGCCCGCACAAGCGGUGGAUGAUGUGGAUUAAUUCGAUGCAACGCGAAAAACCUUACCUGGUCUUGACAUGUAUAGAACCCCGGAGAGAUUUGGGGGUGCCGCAAGGAGCUAUAACACAGGUGCUGCAUGGCUGUCGUCAGCUCGUGUCGUGAGAUGUUGGGUUAAGUCCCGCAACGAGCGCAACCCUUGCCAUUAGUUGCCAGCAUUAAGUUGGGCACUCUAAUGGGACUGCCGGUGACAAACCGGAGGAAGGUGGGGAUGACGUCAAGUCCUCAUGGCCCUUAUGACCAGGGCUUCACACGUCAUACAAUGGUCGGUACAGAGGGUCGCCAACCCGCGAGGGGGAGCCAAUCCCAGAAAACCGAUCGUAGUCCGGAUUGCAGUCUGCAACUCGACUGCAUGAAGUCGGAAUCGCUAGUAAUCGCGGAUCAGCAUGUCGCGGUGAAUACGUUCCCGGGCCUUGUACACACCGCCCGU